AACGAACGCUGGCGGCAUGCCUAACACAUGCAAGUCGAACGAACCCUUCGGGGUUAGUGGCGCACGGGUGCGUAACGCGUGGGAAUCUGCCCUUUGCUUCGGAAUAACUCAGGGAAACUUGUGCUAAUACCGGAUGAUGUCUUCGGACCAAAGAUUUAUCGGCAAGGGAUGAGCCCGCGUAGGAUUAGGUAGUUGGUGGGGUAAAGGCCUACCAAGCCGACGAUCCUUAGCUGGUCUGAGAGGAUGAUCAGCCACACUGGGACUGAGACACGGCCCAGACUCCUACGGGAGGCAGCAGUGGGGAAUAUUGGACAAUGGGCGCAAGCCUGAUCCAGCAAUGCCGCGUGAGUGAUGAAGGCCCUCGGGUCGUAAAGCUCUUUUACCAGGGAUGAUAAUGACAGUACCUGGAGAAUAAGCUCCGGCUAACUCCGUG
This 433-nucleotide ribosomal RNA is filed under the name uncultured bacterium. RNAcentral describes it as "partial 16S ribosomal RNA". It matches the Rfam family "Bacterial small subunit ribosomal RNA", at positions 29 to 507 of the family's 1533-position model. The record is from RNAcentral.